This is an RNA transcript of Megalobrama amblycephala (Wuchang bream), 1681 nucleotides long. It is a transcript of the gene named zinc finger protein 213-like, with no coding region annotated. NCBI's taxonomy places the organism in Eukaryota, Metazoa, Chordata, Actinopteri, Cypriniformes, Xenocyprididae. The record is from RefSeq and is a predicted model, not a curated record. The transcript is spliced from 2 exons.
UAUGCCGUGACUGGAGUGAAGCCCUUUGGGGAUUGUUUUGUUUUGUGCCUUGCACAGUUUUUGUUUGACAUUUCUGAAUUUUGAAAUAAAGCUCAGUCAGCAGUUAACCGCCGACCCUGUCCCCUUCCUUCCUACACUAACGAACAUUGUUUGUACUACACUGGUGCCGAAACCCGGGAAGGAAGCUGGGUGGCCGCUGCCAUGCAAUCUUCGUCCUCCCCUUCGACAUUUGCGGAAGUCAUCGCCUCCCUCGCGGUCCUGCAUUAGGAGCAACAUGAGGCCCUGCUGGACCUGCGCACCGACCAAGAACGCAGCUUCCAAGCCAUCGUGCAGGCCCAGCAGGAGGACCGCGAGAGGUUCCGGAGCUGGAUUGACCGGGAGGUUCGCCAGGAGACCAUCGGGCAGCCGGCUGCGCCUACCCACCUGCCGCUGAACAAAAUGGGGCCAUGUGACGACCCCGAGGCCUUCCUCGACUUGUUCGAGCGGUCAGCCGAGGCAAGUGGCUGGUCGCAGGUGGCGGCACAGCAGCUGCCAGCAGAGAACCUCCUGGUCUUUGACGAUCUUCGGCGGGCCAUCGUCCAGCAGGUCGGCCGGACCCCCGAGCAGCAUCGUCAACGCUUCCGUUCUCUGGACCUGGGCGAGUCCGGCCGGCCCUUCGUGUUGGCCCAACAGCUCCGGGACUCGUGCCGCAAAUGGCUAUUGGCUGAGGGAAGCGACGUGGACCUGGUUAUCGAUCGCGUGGUACUGGAGCAGUUCAUCACUCGGCUCCCCAAGAAAACCGCCGAGUGGGUCCAGUGCCACCGCCCCACGUCGCUGGACUCAGCCAUCGAAUUGGCGGAGGACCACAUGGCGGCGUGCCAAGGGGUCGGCGAACCCCUACCAUCUGCCUCUCUCUCUCCUUCUUUUAAUUCCCCCUCUCUCUCUAAACCUGUCCCUCUACCCAGGUCUCAUCCGCCCGGCCCGCCACGUGUUCCACCCCGGGGGCGGGGUGGAACGGAACAGGGCCCGUAUUAUGGACCAAGAGCCCCGCCCAGGGGGGCGGGACUCCCUGCCGCCGGGCCGGACUCCGCUCCUGCUUCUCCCCUCUCUCUGCAACAGGUCUGGGCUGGCCUGUUGUCGUUGCGGGGACCCGGAGCACUUUGUGGACAGGUGUCCAGUGAUGGAGGUUGGGACGUUGAUCCGGGUCCCGGACGAUCCGCAGGCUGCCCCCGGUCAAGCUGGCGAGUACCAAAUACCUGUGAGUGUCAAGGGGGGUACUUAUCAGGCUUUGGUGGACUCAGGAUGUAACCAAACCUCGGUGCAUCAAAGCCUGAUUUCGUCCGGGGCAUUGGAUGCAGGCCGCUUGGUUAAGACUGACGCGUCGGACAGAGGGCUGGGUGCUGUCCUGUCCCAGGAGAUAGAGGGAGAGGAACGGCCGGUGCUGUACAUUAGCCACAAGCUCUCAAAGAGGGAAGCUAAGUACAGCACCAUUGAGAAAGAGUGUUUGGCUAUUAGGUGGGCCAUCCUCACCCUCCGCUAUUAUCUCCUGGGACGGGAAUUCACUCUCUGUUCGGACCACGCUCCCCUGCAGUGGCUCCACCGCAUGAAGGAUACCAAUGCGCGGAUCACUCGUUGGUAUCUGGCAUUACAGCCUUUUAAGUUCAAGGUGGUCCACAGGCCAAUUUCAGAUGGCUGUGGCCAA